Molecule: ribosomal RNA, 389 nt
Filed under: Triticum aestivum (bread wheat)
Lineage: Eukaryota; Viridiplantae; Streptophyta; Magnoliopsida; Poales; Poaceae
Description: partial small subunit ribosomal RNA
Rfam family: Eukaryotic large subunit ribosomal RNA
Source: RNAcentral
GUCAGGCGGGACUACCCGCUGAGUUUAAGCAUAUAAAUAAGCGGAGGAGAAGAAACUUACAAGGAUUCCCCUAGUAACGGCGAGCGAACCGGGAGCAGCCCAGCUUGAGAAUCGGGCGGCUGUGCCGUCCGAAUUGUAGUCUGGAGAGGCGUCCUCAGCGACGGACCGGGCCCAAGUCCCCUGGAAAGGGGCGCCUGGGAGGGUGAGAGCCCCGUCCGGCCCGGACCCUGUCGCCCCACGAGGCGCCGUCAACGAGUCGGGUUGUUUGGGAAUGCAGCCCAAAUCGGGCGGUAGACUCCGUCCAAGGCUAAAUACAGGCGAGAGACCGAUAGCGAACAAGUACCGCGAGGGAAAGAUGAAAAGGACUUUGAAAAGAGAGUCAAAGAGGG